AGAGUUUGAUCCUGGCUCAGGAUGAACGCUGGCGGCGUGCCUAACACAUGCAAGUCGAGCGAUUUACUUCGGUAAAGAGCGGCGGACGGGCGAGUAACGCGUGGGUAACCUGCCCUGUACACACGGAUAACAUACCGAAAGGUAUGCUAAUACGAGAUAAUAUGCUUUUAUCGCAUGGUAGAAGUAUCAAAGCUUUUGCGGUACAGGAUGGACCCGCGUCUGAUUAGCUAGUUGGUAAGGUAACGGCUUACCAAGGCGACGAUCAGUAGCCGACCUGAGAGGGUGAUCGGCCACAUUGGAACUGAGACACGGUCCAAACUCCUACGGGAGGCAGCAGUGGGGAAUAUUGCACAAUGGGCGAAAGCCUGAUGCAGCAACGCCGCGUGAGCGAUGAAGGCCUUCGGGUCGUAAAGCUCUGUCCUCAAGGAAGAUAAUGACGGUACUUGAGGAGGAAGCCCCGG
RNAcentral lists this ribosomal RNA (461 nucleotides) under uncultured bacterium. Its description in RNAcentral is "bacterial SSU rRNA". It matches the Rfam family "Bacterial small subunit ribosomal RNA", at positions 8 to 496 of the family's 1533-position model. The record is from RNAcentral.